RNAcentral lists this ribosomal RNA (549 nucleotides) under Fusarium oxysporum. Its description in RNAcentral is "eukaryotic LSU rRNA". The stretch from base 176 to 329 matches the Rfam family "5.8S ribosomal RNA". The record is from RNAcentral. Lineage: Eukaryota; Fungi; Ascomycota; Sordariomycetes; Hypocreales; Nectriaceae.
UUAGGUGAACCUGCGGAGGGAUCAUUACCGAGUUUACAACUCCCAAACCCCUGUGAACAUACCAAUUGUUGCCUCGGCGGAUCAGCCCGCUCCCGGUAAAACGGGACGGCCCGCCAGAGGACCCCUAAACUCUGUUUCUAUAUGUAACUUCUGAGUAAAACCAUAAAUAAAUCAAAACUUUCAACAACGGAUCUCUUGGUUCUGGCAUCGAUGAAGAACGCAGCAAAAUGCGAUAAGUAAUGUGAAUUGCAGAAUUCAGUGAAUCAUCGAAUCUUUGAACGCACAUUGCGCCCGCCAGUAUUCUGGCGGGCAUGCCUGUUCGAGCGUCAUUUCAACCCUCAAGCCCCCGGGUUUGGUGUUGGGGAUCGGCGAGCCCUUGCGGCAAGCCGGCCCCGAAAUCUAGUGGCGGUCUCGCUGCAGCUUCCAUUGCGUAGUAGUAAAACCCUCGCAACUGGUACGCGGCGCGGCCAAGCCGUUAAACCCCCAACUUCUGAAUGUUGACCUCGGAUCAGGUAGGAAUACCCGCUGAACUUAAGCAUAUCAAUAAGC